GUCCUAAUGAAGCAGAAGUGGGAGAGAAAAGCAUAAAUCCCUGUGGGACCACCUUAACCCAUUUUAAUUUGGUUUCUAAAGGAAACAAAGCAUAAGUUAUUGGCUUCUUUACCCACCAGCCCCCUCUAAUACCUUGGAAAUCCAUUUUGAUAGCAAGACAGACAUCUCAAAGUUAUUUAUCAUACUGAUGAUUUGAAGGUCCUCUUGCAGCGCCAAACUCUGGCCAAAGCUCUUAACUGUCCAAUAAAAUUCAGCUGAGCUACACCCUGUGAGCACUCAACAGCUAUCAAAAGAUGAGCACUGCAUCAAGGACCUUUGGGACAAAACCUUUGUACAGUGCUGGAAUGGGAUCUGAAGGGAUGUUUUUAACAACAGGAACAGGUAGAAUAAUCACUCACCUUGGUCUGCAGAGGUCAAUCGACAUUAGCCAUGUCAGAAACUCCUGGUUCAAAACAUCCUUCAAAUCUUCUGAACCUCCCAGAGAAGUAAAACUGCAAGAAAUGUGCCAUGCCGUAAAGACAGAGGAAACCAUCCAAAUGUGUAUAUAACAAUCUUAUCCCAAUUGCAUCAAGUUCACAGGUAUAUUUUAUUUUCUUUGUCUUCUAAUACCUUUGACUUAGUGCAUUGCUUGCCAGCUUGUCAAUCCUACCAACUUUUGCCUUUUUCUUUCCCUGUUGUUGGGAAAUGAGACUGUUCUGCAACAUUAGCAGUUCAUCUUUCUUCUUUGUUCACCACUUCCUAUCUCCACAGCCAAGAGGAUGCAUUUUCUUCUUCUCUUAUUUUUCAGUAUUGUGUAAUUCUUAACUAAAUUUAUCACUUCAUCCUUUUUUUUGUAUACAUAUAUAAAAUAAAAUCUUAAAAGGGAGUCUUUCCUCCCUCUAUAUUCUGAAACAGCCACAUAAAAAUCUCUGCCUCCCAGUCUAGAUCAAGGAUUACUUAACCAAAAAGAUUUGAAUCCAUAUGGCAUUUUCUUCAUCAUCUUUUCCUCCAGGCACCACUUAGAUUUUUGACAAGGUUAAACAUACAAGAAGUCCCUCUGCUGCCUUCUAGGCAGCACUGUAGAGCCAUGGAGUAGGAGAGACAGUUUGAAGGAAAGGACACUAUGCUCUUACUAACUGUUUUUCUGUGCUGCAAAAUAGAAGUGCCAGUGAAGAAGAGUGAAUAAAGGUACAUCUUGGUGGCUAGGGGCGUUCCCCUAAGUGUAGCAAAACAACACAACAACAACAAAACAGAACCUAUUUUGACAUGAUGAGAUCCUGCUACAGAACACUGCUUUGAUCUUGGUCAGUCUGGGAUAUCUAGCACUGAAUAUGUCUGUCAGUCUUAGGAGAUGAGAAGAACCAGUCCUGUACCACCCCAACCCCCCGUGCCCCAUGUCCUCUCUUAGACCCAGCAGG
Oxyura jamaicensis (ruddy duck) is the source of this 1397-nucleotide long non-coding RNA. RefSeq lists it as uncharacterized. Lineage: Eukaryota; Metazoa; Chordata; Aves; Anseriformes; Anatidae. The record is from RefSeq and is a predicted model, not a curated record. The transcript has 2 exons.